CACCGCGACGCCCCGCUUCGUGACUUUGGCUCUCUUGCUGGGCGCCACCGCCAGCCUGGGUGCGCCCACUUGAAAAAUUCAGAUUCAGCUGUCUUUUACGUGGCUCCUAGAAGAUUCACCCCCUGUGGGAGCACAGCAGUUGUGGAGGUGGAGACAAGACUGGCACCAGAAUCAGAGUUAAAAUAUAUCAGAAAAUCUGAGCUCCAAAUUCUUGUAAGUCAGCGAGUGACUGACCAACAACUGUGAGACACUGAGGACUUUGACGUUUGCUGUAAACUUUGGCACAGAUCACUUCUCUGAAGGCUGAAUCCAAAAAGCACAAUGAGUAAAAAAUAUCCUGUGGUAGCACAGUGAAUUCCAGACAAACCUGAGAAUUUCCUACAGCUGGGGAAGGAGGCCCAACUCCUGAGAUGGCCUUGGAUGCAGAACUGAUAGAACUUGGGGAAAGUGAUGAAGUAGUUGACCUCACCCGUGAAUCUCUAGAACCUGUAGUGAUUGACCUAACUCAACAUGACUCUGUUGUGGUUAUUGAACAAUGGAGGAGGCCAAGGGGAAACACAAGGUCAUUCCAAGGCCAAACUGGCAGCUGUGUAGUACGCAGUGAUAGAGAUGGGUUGAUGAGAAACAGAGAUGUACAUGUGACAAACAGUGCCCACCAUAAUUCCCCGGAAGAAGAAAUUUUAAGUCACAGACUACCUGGUUAUAUCCAGUGUCAACUUUGCAUGGAUGGAUACUCAGAGAUUGAACUCAGUAGACGACACAUUUAUUCCACAGAAUGUGGCCAUAUCUUCUGUAGUCAGUGCCUAUGCACUUCUCUUAAAUAUACUAAAACUUGCCCAGUUUGUUUGAAAAAAAUCAGCUGCCAUCAGUACCACCGCAUUUAUAUAUGAUGUGUGCCUUGUUGCUCAGGACAGACAGACCCUCUGGCUGGAUUUUUCCAUGUCCUUGUACAGCAACUAUGGGUUGCUGGCAGUCAAUUCUCUGAGCUUAAAAAGCCUGAUUUUAAAAAUUUCUAUCUCGAGUAUAUAAAAACUCUUGUUUCUCAAAUGC
Molecule: long non-coding RNA, 1050 nt
Organism: Galeopterus variegatus (Sunda flying lemur)
Lineage: Eukaryota; Metazoa; Chordata; Mammalia; Dermoptera; Cynocephalidae
Exons: 2
Source: RefSeq, a predicted model, not a curated record